Molecule: ribosomal RNA, 292 nt
Filed under: uncultured bacterium
Lineage: Bacteria
Description: partial 16S ribosomal RNA
Rfam family: Bacterial small subunit ribosomal RNA
Source: RNAcentral
GUGUCAGCAGCCGCGGUAAGACAGAGGGUGCAAACGUUGCUCGGAUUUACUGGGCGUAAAGCGCGUGUAGGCGGGCGACUAAGUCGGAUGUGAAAUCCCUGGGCUCAACCUAGGAACUGCAUUCGAAACUGGUCACCUAGAGUGAUGGAGAGGAAAGCGGAAUUCCCGGUGUAGAGGUGAAAUUCGUAGAUAUCGGGAGGAACACCAGUGGCGAAGGCGGCUUUCUGGACAUUUACUGACGCUGAGACGCGAAAGCGUGGGGAGCAAACAGGAUUAGAUACCCGGGUAGUCC